Molecule: unclassified non-coding RNA, 942 nt
Filed under: Leguminivora glycinivorella
Lineage: Eukaryota; Metazoa; Arthropoda; Insecta; Lepidoptera; Tortricidae
Description: uncharacterized LOC125242646, transcript variant X2
Source: RNAcentral
UAUGUGGCUGUUCAAACCAGUAGUCUCAUCUAAGUCUGCUACAAUGGCUACUCAAGACCUUAAGAGGUUACGUACAGCGCGAGGCUAUACAAAAGCUUCCAUUACUCGCCUGUAUACAUUUUGUAAUAAUGACAGUGAUGUAGCUAGCAGUGCUUUAUCGGCGCUCGAUGCCAAAAGAGCGAGGGUGACGGAGCUCUUCAAAGAAUAUGACAAAUGUAACAAAGAAAUUCUGUCUUUGGACGAAGAGGAUGCGGAGGAUGUCGAAGACUUUGAGGAUAAAUAUUAUCAUAUACUGACAGUCCUCAACGAGGCAAUUAGUCGUAAAUCCUCGCCCUCGUCUGAAUCUCCUGCCGCCGCAUCAUGUCAAAAUAACUUUAAGGCUAAGUUGCCUACUAUAAAGAUAGAUGUGUUUACGGAUUCGUACACGUCGCGGGCGUACCAGUUGGAGCGAGAUGACACCAAGGACCCAACUAUCACCGAGUUCCUCUUGUACCUGGAGAAGCGAGCCUUGGCACUGGAGAAUGCUGAGCCGUCCACGUCGGGGAAGUCUCAACACAAGGCUGUGGUAAAUGUGACAGCGACCGCCUCGACUGCCUGCAACUAUUGUCCUGCUUCUGGAGCCGGUCCCUGGGCAGCAGCAGGAGUCAGAUGAAGACCCAGCGAGUCCUCAUCCUACAAUUGUAAAUACUAAGCUUGGCUACAUCAUCGGUGGUGCUUUAUCACGACAGCAAACCAGUGACAAAAAAUGAAGGCUCAGUGUGCGAAACAGCUGAUGGGUUCUUUGCCACCUGAAAGGGUCACAGCCUGCCGAGCAUUCCAGAAAGUCGGCAUCGACUUUGCAGGUCCCAUAACAGUGAAGAAUUCUCGCGUAAGAAGAGCUCUACAGACAAAAGGCUACAUAUGCGUUUUUGUUUGUUUUGUGACUAAAGCCAUACAUCUGGA